Long non-coding RNA from Chroicocephalus ridibundus (black-headed gull), 1637 nucleotides. RefSeq lists it as uncharacterized. The transcript has 4 exons. The record is from RefSeq and is a predicted model, not a curated record. Lineage: Eukaryota; Metazoa; Chordata; Aves; Charadriiformes; Laridae.
GCCAUUAUAACAUUAUGACGCAAUCCUUUCUAACAUCUUUAAAAGUAUGUAUUUUAUAAGUAAGUUUACAUACAUAUGUGGCAUUUGGAAGCAUUUGGACAAAAUGCAUUAAUUUCAUCUUUCAUGAGCUUUUGUACAUCUUGCCUUGCAGAGUACUUAGGGAGCAUGAGUAUUUUCGAAGAUAUCUGUGACAUCUGUUCUUAAUAUUCUAACAUCUUUCUUCCGUGUACAUUUGAUAGACAACAUAUUUUUGGCAGUCUUUGUUAUUAGAAUUGCCAAAAUGUUGAUAUUAAUUUGAGUGCCUUGGUUUUCAAUGAGUGCAAGCCAGAAUGAGCCUUUUCAGAGACUCAUGUUUGGAACCAAGUUAUUUCUAGAAAGCCAAAUGUUUCAACAUUCUUUUUAGGUAAUCAGAAAUAGAUUUAUAAUAGAAUAAGGAAACAAUUUCUGUUCAGGAACAGUUGUUCAAAUAUAUCUGCUCCCUCAUCUUUAUUUCUGAUCUGUGUAUUUUUAAAUAUAAGACUAUCUUAGAACUCCAUCCAAGUACCAGGCCAUGGGAUUUUGCAUUGCUUGAUACUUAACCCUCCUAAAUGCCCAUGUAAAGUGCAUUGAUAUGAGUGUAUAAAUGGCAUUUCAUGAAGAGAUUUUCUGAGACUUAGAUGUUACAGUGUUGAGCACUGUGCUGUGCAGUUUUUAUAGGUGAGAGCACAGAGUGAAAGGCACAGCCAUGAGUUAAGUGCCAGGGCUUCUUAUACAACAUGUGAGAAGCCCCCUCUAAGAGAGUCAUGCAAAGUCCAGAUCACAUCAGAAAGUAAAAAGGGCCAGUAAGGAAAUAACUCCAGGUACUCUGGAUUUGCAGUCUUGUUCCUGACGGGAGAAAAUGUUCCCAGGUAUUUCUUUUCAGAAGUUAGGUGACUGUAAUUUCUUUGAAAUCAUGCCAUCCAGUGAUUAGGUGACUGUUGAAUUCAUCUGGAAUUAAAUCCCUUUCUAUUUCUUGUAUGUCUCUGAAGAAUUCAUUAGCUACAGGCCUGCAAACUAUUCUGUGUUGGUGUUAGCUUAUCUCCUCUGGGGAAGCUGUUGUCUAGAUUAGCAGGCCUUGGGGAGAGGGUGAACAUGGCCUGGGUUUCUAACCUGUCCGACACAUGGAAGGGAAAGAUUAGGUUCCAGUCGCUCUUGGAAGGAUUAUUGUGGUGGAUGAGCUAUGUAACCCACCUUUUCCUACUCCAGAAAGAAAGACGAGGCUGCAACUACGUUUUCUGAGGAGGCCAGCGUGAGCAAUGAGAAUGUAUACUGGAUCAGGCACAAGUUGAUGACUGCAUGAAUCCUGAUGGACCCCGGUGUGAGAUAAUCUGCAGAAACAAACGGGAAAAGCCCGUGCAGACAUUGACAUCCUGUCCCUGUCAAGGUACUGGAAUACAGGACUGCUCAUGUAUCUACUGGUUGAAAACCUCGAUGGUAGGUGGGAAAGUGGAUCCUGGAUAAAAGUCCUGCCCAAGACAAGACUCCAAGCUGAAGACUCCAAUUAUCUAUAAAUCACUUCUAUUUCCUGCAGAGAAAGAGAAAAAGGAGAGAAGAGCGAGACAGACAGAAAAACAGAGGCAGAGGAUAUGCCAAGUGAAAUAUUCAAUACCUGUCCUAAA